GUUGCAACUAGGACUUGGGUAGAAUGGAGUCAGCUGCUGGAUGCCCGUUUGUGAGUCCCGUACCAUGGUGGAGUCUCCUCCUCCUAGAGCAGAGGAAACCGACACUUAACCUGCCCGAGUGGCAGCACUCUCCGUUAGGCUGCGCAGAGCUCCAAGUGAAUGAUGAGAGCCUAUUUUGUAAAUAGUGAAUUCUUCUGGUUCCUCCUCAGCUCAUAGAACUGUGGCAGUUUUUUAAUAAUAGAUUUGGUGAGUCUAUGCUUUUGACAUCCAUGGACUUCUGAGUAUAGGAGACGGCCCCACACCCGCUCCAGGGUACAGACUGUGGCUAUACUGAUCUACCAGAAGGAGGGUA
Molecule: long non-coding RNA, 352 nt
Filed under: Bos taurus (domestic cattle)
Lineage: Eukaryota; Metazoa; Chordata; Mammalia; Artiodactyla; Bovidae
Description: long non-coding RNA NONBTAT005003
Source: RNAcentral